Molecule: ribosomal RNA, 245 nt
Filed under: uncultured bacterium
Lineage: Bacteria
Description: partial 16S ribosomal RNA
Rfam family: Bacterial small subunit ribosomal RNA
Source: RNAcentral
UACGAAGGGGGCGAGCGUUGUUCGGAAUCACUGGGCGUAAAGCGUGCGUAGGCGGCGAUGAAAGUUAGAAGUGAAAGCCCAGGGCUCAACCUUGGAAUUGCUUUUAAAACUCCAUCGCUCGAAUCUCGGAGAGGAUAGCGGAAUUGUCAGUGUAGCAGUGAAAUGCGUAGAUAUUGACAGGAACACCAGUGGCGUAAGCGGCUAUCUGGACGAGUAUUGACGCUGAGGCACGAAAGCGUGGGGAU